UAGUGGAAUUUUGAACUGCUCUAUCGAAUCAUGAUUGCUUGUUGUCGUCUGCCUUAUUGACUUAUUUCCGCGUGGCGUGCUUUAUUGAACUUGUUGGUUGGUUAAAAUGGUUAUGACCGAAGAAAAGAAACUUGAGUUGAUUUCUUUAUGACCAUUCCAUGAAAUAUUUGUUGUUAAGACUAUGUGAAAUGGAAAGAUUAGAAAAAAACGGACAUAGACAAACAGUAAAUUAAUUUUUUAAGAUUAAAUUCUGUUGGUUUGGGUACAAAGUGCAUUAACAAAACGUUGAGAAAACAGCAAGUUUUUCUGUUGGAUGUUGGUUAGUUUAUUAAAUUUUCAUUUAUUAAUUAACAGAUAACAGAUUAUGCACACAUUAUGCAGGGAAAGGGAAUUUUUGACACAGACCUGUCAUUACAAAGUCCAAAACUACUUUAGCGUAAGGGCUGGAAGACCUGUCAAUUGAAGAAUGUCAAAAUUGUCGGAGAUAAAAAAAAGAAAACAGAAGAUGGAUGGUGACGUCUCUUACUAAAAGAUACAACACAGAAGAAUAUUGUUGAGUCUGGACCUUACCCCAACAAGGAUGGUGAAGGAGUCUUGUCCUGUCCUAUUUUCCAAUUGUUGACUCUCUAAAAAGAACAUCCCAAUGGAGAAGAACAUAUCUAAAAAGUUACAUGUCAGCAGUUUUCAGCUGCAAUGUUGUGGACAGAUCAAGCUGAAUUAUUCACAUCCAAAACAUCAAACAAAGAAAAAGUGAAUCAUAUAGUUGGAAAAUGUUUAGUGACUGUAUUCUAGGUAAUUGAAUUUGUACAAAUUUCUAUUUUCUAAGCUAAUAAAACUGUCUUUAUCUUUUGUGAUAACAAAUAAGCUAGGUGCAUUAUCUACGUUAUCUCCAAUAAAACCGAAUUAGGUCAAGA
Daphnia pulex (common water flea) is the source of this 914-nucleotide long non-coding RNA. RefSeq lists it as uncharacterized. The record is from RefSeq and is a predicted model, not a curated record. The transcript is spliced from 2 exons. Lineage: Eukaryota; Metazoa; Arthropoda; Branchiopoda; Diplostraca; Daphniidae.